Molecule: ribosomal RNA, 253 nt
Filed under: uncultured bacterium
Lineage: Bacteria
Description: partial 16S ribosomal RNA
Rfam family: Bacterial small subunit ribosomal RNA
Source: RNAcentral
UACGUAGGGUGCAAGCGUUGUCCGGAAUUAUUGGGCGUAAAGAGCUCGUAGGCGGUUUGUCGCGUCUGGUGUGAAAAUCCAGGGCUUAACCCUGGACCUGCAUCGGGUACGGGCAGACUAGAGUGCGGUAGGGGAGAUCGGAAUUCCUGGUGUAGCGGUGAAAUGCGCAGAUAUCAGGAGGAACACCGGUGGCGAAGGCGGAUCUCUGGGCCGUAACUGACGCUGAGGAGCGAAAGCAUGGGGGGCGAACAGG